AACGAACGCUGGCGGCAUGCCUAACACAUGCAAGUCGAACGGGAUCCUAGCUUGCUAGGUGAGAGUGGCGGACGGGUGAGUAACACGUGGGAAUCUGCCUUUUGGUUCGGGAUAACCGCGGGAAACUGCGGCUAAUACCGAAUGCCCUCGAGAGAGGAAAGAUUUAUCGCCCAAGGAUGAGCCCGCAUAAGAUUAGCUAGUUGGUGGGGUAAAAGCCUACCAAGGCGACGAUCUUUAGCUGGUCUGAGAGGAUGAUCAGCCACACUGGGACUGAGACACGGCCCAGACUCCUACGGGAGGCAGCAGUGGGGAAUAUUGGACAAUGGGCGAAAGCCUGAUCCAGCAAUGCCGCGUGAGUGAUGAAGGCCUAGGGUUGUAAAGCUCUUUUACCCGAGAUGAUAAUGACAGUAUCGGGAGAAUAAGACUCCGGCUAACUCCGUGCCAGCAGCCG
This 451-nucleotide ribosomal RNA is filed under the name uncultured bacterium. Its description in RNAcentral is "bacterial SSU rRNA". It matches the Rfam family "Bacterial small subunit ribosomal RNA", at positions 29 to 517 of the family's 1533-position model. The record is from RNAcentral.